GUCAGAGUAUGUGCAAUUUGUAAUGUGGUUUGCAAUAGUGAGAAUGUAUACAAUUAUCAUCUCACUGGACGCAAGCAUGCUGCGAUGUUGAAGAGACAUGGACUAAGGAUGGUUGCUGCCUCCUAAAUAUAAAAUAUUUGGAAUAGAAGAUUUGGCAAGUCUAGUACUUAUGUGAUUUUCAGUCUUUACAAUGCUCAUAUUCUCAUUUGAUAUGUUACCUGUUUUGCAUUGAUGCUGUUUUGGAGAACUAUCAUGCAGAAAUGUUAGAUAUGUUCUUGUCGACUCUGUAGGACAAAUUCAUUAAAGUAAAAAGACUUCUGGCCUUCAGAGUCGACAAGAACAUAUCUAACAUUU
RNAcentral lists this unclassified non-coding RNA (354 nucleotides) under Hevea brasiliensis (rubber tree). Lineage: Eukaryota; Viridiplantae; Streptophyta; Magnoliopsida; Malpighiales; Euphorbiaceae. The record is from RNAcentral.